Long non-coding RNA from Olea europaea var. sylvestris, 489 nucleotides. RefSeq lists it as uncharacterized. The record is from RefSeq and is a predicted model, not a curated record. NCBI's taxonomy places the organism in Eukaryota, Viridiplantae, Streptophyta, Magnoliopsida, Lamiales, Oleaceae. The transcript is spliced from 3 exons.
UUGAUACCAGAUGAUAUGGAGUUUCAAACCGGAGAUAUGCCUAAUUACACAACUUCAGACGGAUCUGUUAAAAUUCAGAAAGAAAGUGAAGUUAGGCUGAAGAUUAUUGGAACUCGAGUUGAUGCUACAGAAAUUUUCUGUAUUGGCACCAUAAAGGACGACUUCUUGGGUGUAAUCAGUGAUCCAGGCGCAACUUCCUGAAUUGAAAGCUGGGCUUAUUUUGGAUCUUCAAACACACUCUCUGGCUAUUACAUUGAGCAUUUUAUGCUAUAAUGAAUUAUGAUUUGAACAAAUACUGAUGUUUAUGCUGUAGGGAUAUGUAUGUGACAGUUUAUUUAAACUGAAUGAUUUGAGUGCUUGAUGAGAUCUCAUGUUCAAUGAUCUGUCUCUUUAUAUCAAAGCUCACAUUGCUUUCUUAGUGGGGUUAUUGUUCAACAGAGAAUCCUUCUUAUCUACAGAACUAAAUAUAUUCGACGUGGAAUUUGUGCU